GAUUACACAUUCAACAGGGGCAGAGAGGGGAUGGGAAGGGCCAUAGAGAUCAAAGUUAAGAUGGGCUUGUCAGUCUCAGUCCAGUUUGUCCACCCACCAUAUCAGACAUCCAUGAGAACUCACUUUGGUACGGCGCAGUCCUAGGAAUCAAGAAUUUUAAGUUUUCAUCAAAUAACCUGUUAUAAACUCAUUUGCAGCAUUGGUGUAGUGGUGUUGGUUCCAGGAUAUUAGAAAGACAUGGUGGGUGAGGCAAUAUCUUUUAUUGGACCAACUUCUACUGGGGAAAGAGACAACCUUGUGAGCUACACAGAGAUCUUCAGCUCUUAUAAAGUCAAACAGCUGUAGCAUAAAAUCAACAAUCUUCAUUGGGAAGACGAGCAAGUACUAGUUGAAAAUCAGUAAAUGGGUUUGGUUCUUUCCAGAGAAAACCGUCGAAAUUCAGCUCCAAACUACAAUAAAGACAUCUGAUUUUAGUAAGACAGAAAUCACUAUGUACACCAAGACAACAGGAUAACUUGAAAGUUACAAGAAGGGCAGUGGCUCAACCUGUUUUUCUAUGCCUGCCAUCUUCUACAAGCAAGUUGCUCAGUUCUGCCAGACCACAGGGAAGGUGCAGAGGACAAUACAGGCUUCCCAAAGAUUUGCAGAGCAGUUGAAUUGGCCUUCUUCUGAUGUGAAAAAGCCUCCAGGAAGCUCCCAGCACUUGAAACCACCAUGCAGAUGUAGCCUUCAGGAACAUCCCACGCACCCCGGCUGAGCAUCUCCACCAGAUAAGAAAGCACCCAAGAUGCAGCAAAUAAGAUAUGUUCCGGGAGGUCCUGCAGUGCUCCAAUGCAGAAAAAAGGGAUAGAAAGGAGAGCUGGGAAGCAGAACGGCAGGACAGAAAAGAGAAUCAUGCAUUUGUUAAGGAUGCUACUCAGCGGAUGCUUAAAGUAAUGGAGGAGCAAACACAGAUGCUGAAGUCCUUAAUAAUGCUGCAGACUGAGCAGAUCAGUGCUCGACCUCCACUGCAGCACAUUCAGAACUCUUUUCCAGCCCCCCCCCCCAACUCCACCCACACAUUCCUUUCCACUUUCCGGGACUUCUUGGUUUCCCCUUCACUUUACCCCCUCGGACAACUUUCACAAUGAUAGCUGGACCUACACACAGCUAUGAAAGUCUGCCCUUUCCUGGUUCCUCCUUUCCCGCCAAGCAUCUCUGUGUUUGUGUGCUAUUUCUUGUGCAAUAAAAGCAAACUUUUAUAAUGGUAAA
Molecule: RNA transcript, 1251 nt
Organism: Chrysemys picta bellii (western painted turtle)
Lineage: Eukaryota; Metazoa; Chordata; Testudines; Emydidae
Source: RefSeq, a predicted model, not a curated record